GUAAUGGAUUUUUUAAAAUCCAUCAAUAAUUAAAUAUAUUUUAAAU
Molecule: non-coding RNA, 46 nt
Organism: Vigna radiata var. radiata (mung bean)
Lineage: Eukaryota; Viridiplantae; Streptophyta; Magnoliopsida; Fabales; Fabaceae
Source: Rfam